CCGAAUCCAGUACAACGCGCCA
Molecule: transfer RNA, 22 nt
Filed under: Escherichia coli NE037
Lineage: Bacteria; Pseudomonadati; Pseudomonadota; Gammaproteobacteria; Enterobacterales; Enterobacteriaceae
Description: partial tRNA-Arg
Source: RNAcentral